UGUCCUACGGGGGGCAGCAGUGGGGAAUAUUGCACAAUGGGGGGAACCCUGAUGCAGCGACGCCGCGUGAGUGAAGAAGUAUUUCGGUAUGUAAAGCUCUAUCAGCAGGGAAGAAAAUGACGGUACCCCUUGAAUAAGCCACGGCUAACUACGUGCCAGCAGCCGCGGUAAUACGUAGGUGGCAAGCGUUGUCCGGAUUUACUGGGUGUAAAGGGCGUGCAGCCGGAGAGACAAGUCAGAUGUGAAAUCCACGGGCUCAACCCGUGAACUGCAUUUGAAACUGUUUCCCUUGAGUGUCGGAGAGG
This 305-nucleotide ribosomal RNA is filed under the name uncultured bacterium. Its description in RNAcentral is "bacterial SSU rRNA". It matches the Rfam family "Bacterial small subunit ribosomal RNA", at positions 335 to 657 of the family's 1533-position model. The record is from RNAcentral.